GACGAACGCUGGCGGCGUGCUUAACACAUGCAAGUCGAACGGUAAGGCCCUUCGGGGUACACGAGUGGCGAACGGGUGGGUAACACGUGGGUGAUCUGCCCUGCACUUCGGGAUAAGCCUGGGAAACUGGGCCUAAUACCGGAUAGGACCACUGCCUGCAGGGGUGGUGGUGGAAAGCUUUUGCGGUGUGGGAUGGGCCCGCGGCCUAUCAGCUUGUUGGUGGGGUGAUGGCCUACCAAGGCGACGACGGGUAGCCGGCCUGAGAGGGUGACCGGCCACACUGGGACUGAGAUACGGCCCAGACUCCUACGGGAGGCAGCAGUGGGGAAUAUUGCACAAUGGGCGCAAGCCUGGUGCAGCGACGCCGCGUGAGGGAUGACGGCCUUCGGGUUGUAAACCUCUUUCAGCACCGACGAAGCGCAAGUGACGGUAGGUGCAGAAGAAGGACCGGCCAACUACGUGCCAGCCGCCGCCGUAA
This 478-nucleotide ribosomal RNA is filed under the name uncultured bacterium. RNAcentral describes it as "partial 16S ribosomal RNA". It matches the Rfam family "Bacterial small subunit ribosomal RNA", at positions 28 to 523 of the family's 1533-position model. The record is from RNAcentral.